Molecule: long non-coding RNA, 1304 nt
Filed under: Actinidia chinensis (golden kiwifruit)
Lineage: Eukaryota; Viridiplantae; Streptophyta; Magnoliopsida; Ericales; Actinidiaceae
Description: long non-coding RNA (ACHI_LNC002995)
Source: RNAcentral
AGGAUGGCAAAAUUUUAGCAUGUAAUCUCGUGACUAUUGUGGGAGGGACUGAAUCAUCUAAGGACUAAAGCACUGUAUCAAAGAAACACACCAUCAACAUAGUUCAAUUGCGUUUGGGUUUGGGGGCGGACUGGGGGUGAUGGUGGGUAUGUUGCACAAAUUGGAUGAUGAUCAAAGCGAGAAAAAAAUACAUAGCAGCAAGCACUGGAUACCCACACGUUUCAAACAUUCCUAAACCCUUAUACUGUGACCUCAUGCUUUAGUGUCCUAUUUUCACGAAUAUACAUUGUCAGCACGUCCUUAUAACAUAUACCCAUGGCAUCUAUCAGGUAUUCAGGUCCACAUCCAUGUAACAAGUACAAGAUAAUUGAAUGGAGGUAUAAAAACAAGAGGAAUGAAAUUUAACGAAGAACUUGAAGUAUUGAAUUUCUGAUUUGCAUUAAAGGAUGCUUAUUCCAGUCAGUAGUUACAAAAUGCAACUACCAUUUUCAACACAAAUAUGAGUAAUAUGAUAAACCUUAACGAUACAGAUAUGCAUAUGCAACUCUCUUUAUCCAGCUCCCUCUCCACAUACUAUGCACACAAACACACACAUACGUAUGUGUAUGUCUACGUAAACAGGAUGCAGAUGAAGCUAGAACAUCUAUAAUUUAACAAAGCAGCCUUGUCUUAUUUCAAUGAACUAGCAUACAUUCACACGUAUAUAUGACAACUCAACUAUAUACAUGAUAAAAACAAAAGCUUUAGGCAAAACAUAAAACUCAAACUUACAAAAUUUCAAAGUUCGUAAGUGAAGUGAACAACCAAAUGAAUCAACAAAGCUAAUUACAGUAACACUAAACUGAUGCUCACGGGUUAGCUCGGACAAUGCAUCUUCUACGAAUCCUACUUUGUCCAUCAAUGCAAAUUGGGUUCCACACGGAAACUCAUCUUCAGAAUCAUCACUGUUACUGAAGAAAUAAGCAGGUAAAUGUACUCAUUAUGUACAGAAUUCAAAAAUCUUCAUUACCUAAAUGUACUCAUAGUGUGCAAUUGAACACCAUGAGGUUUCAAAAAUCUUCAUUACCUAUAUGUGUAAUUGAACACCCUGCCUGAGCUUUCAAAAAUCUUCAUUACCUAUAUGUGUAAGAUGUCUCGUUUCUCAAUCGAAGAAGCUAAAUUAUACAAAUACGAGGCAAAACCCUAACCCCAAAGUGAAUCGGAGUGCAAAUAGUUCGAAUUGUAAGAGCUGUAAUCGGCGAUGGCUUUUCCUCCUGUGCGUAGCGGAGAGAUGAUUUUGGACCUAGGUGCGAAAGAUCCGAGUG